UACGUAUGGGGCAAGCGUUAUCCGGAAUUAUUGGGCGUAAAGAGUGCGUAGGUGGUUAUCUAAGCGCAAGGUUUAAUCUAUCGGCUUAACUGGUAUAUGCCUUGCGAACUGGACUACUUGAGUGCAGGAGGGGAAAGCGGAAUUCCUAGUGUAGCGGUGAAAUGCGUAGAUAUUAGGAGGAACACCGGCGGCGAAGGCGGCUUUCUGGACUGUAACUGACACUGAGGCACGAAAGCGUGGGGAGCAAACA
This 250-nucleotide ribosomal RNA is filed under the name uncultured prokaryote. Its description in RNAcentral is "partial 16S ribosomal RNA". It matches the Rfam family "Bacterial small subunit ribosomal RNA", at positions 524 to 774 of the family's 1533-position model. The record is from RNAcentral.